This 468-nucleotide ribosomal RNA is filed under the name uncultured bacterium. Its description in RNAcentral is "partial 16S ribosomal RNA". It matches the Rfam family "Bacterial small subunit ribosomal RNA", at positions 28 to 507 of the family's 1533-position model. The record is from RNAcentral.
GACGAACGCUGGCGGCGUGCUUAACACAUGCAAGUCGAACGGAAAGGCCCUGCUUUUGUGGGGUGCUCGAGUGGCGAACGGGUGAGUAACACGUGAGUAACCUGCCCUUGACUUUGGGAUAACUUCAGGAAACUGGGGCUAAUACCGGAUAGGAGCUCCUGCUGCAUGGUGGGGGUUGGAAAGUUUCGGCGGUUGGGGAUGGACUCGCGGCUUAUCAGCUUGUUGGUGGGGUAGUGGCUUACCAAGGCUUUGACGGGUAGCCGGCCUGAGAGGGUGACCGGCCACAUUGGGACUGAGAUACGGCCCAGACUCCUACGGGAGGCAGCAGUGGGGAAUAUUGCACAAUGGGCGGAAGCCUGAUGCAGCAACGCCGCGUACGGGAUGACGGCCUUCGGGUUGUAAACCGCUUUCGCCUGUGACGAAGCGUGAGUGACAGUAAUGGGUAAAGAAGCACCGGCUAACUACGUG